Molecule: long non-coding RNA, 2622 nt
Filed under: Triticum aestivum (bread wheat)
Lineage: Eukaryota; Viridiplantae; Streptophyta; Magnoliopsida; Poales; Poaceae
Description: long non-coding RNA (TAES_LNC022455)
Source: RNAcentral
CACGCAAAAGAAAGUGAGAAGACAGAAAGAGAUCAGAGGAGAGAGAGAGUGAAGAAGAGAUAGCGUGAGAGAGAGAGAGACAAGGCAUGGAGGAAAUAUAUAUGGAGCAUGUAGGUGUUGCUGAGGGAAGAGUUGAGCCAUAUGUCUAGAAAAUAUUAGCAUAUACGAUGGGGUAUUAUCUGGUGGCCGAUUACUAUUCUAGAAGAGAAAUCUUGUUAUCGAGGCAAGUAGUUGCUUUGCUAACUCUUAAAUCCUUUAUCUUCGGUUGUAUGAUUAUAUAUUGCUGCACUUUCAAUCUUAUUUAUCCUCCAUUGAUUCAUGUGCUAUUUGAGAAGGACAUGUUGUCCUCGAUAUUCCAUUUGUUGAAGGACAAGUUGUCCUUGAUAAUCCAUUUGUUGAUGGAACCAGUCUGAUAUGAGGGGAGCUCAUGUAGAUGCAUGAGUUUAUUGUGUUGACUAAUAAUCCAGUGAUCCUAUCUUUGAUUCAAUCACAUAUCCUUGCCAUAUUGGUGUCACGGCAAACAUAUUGUACCGGUCACAGUUCAGGUAUGGGACUGUCUGGGCUCUCCGUUAAGGUCGGAUCUUGUUCGGGAACGUGUCGGUGAUGGAUCCGUAGGAGCGAUCGACAUAAGUAGGUACAGGUGUCCAGGUCUUAGUGGGUAAAAGAGCUCUGCUCUUCUGGAACCUGUGUGGUUCUAGUCGAGGCUGUCGACGUCGGAGUACCCCUCUUAAGAGCGUAAAAGUGUGAAAUUUCACCCCUGUGACUCCCGGGUUGGGAAGCUUGCGGUCAUAUGUGAUGCCAAUAAUUUCCUUAUCCGUUUUCGAGGCUAUUCCUUUUUCACAUCUCCAGUAAAACAUGUUCCAAUGAUUAUUACCCUGUUUAUUCUUUGGAUUCAGUCUGUCUGUUGAUCUACACCAUCAUACCAUUGCUUCUGUUGAAUAGUGAAGUAUCUGCUUGCUGGGUAUGAUUUAUUGUACUCAUCCUUGUCUCCUCUGUUUUCUAGAUGCAGCCGAUGUAACUUAAGUAUGUUCAGAAGAUGCCAUCUAAGAAUAGGCUGGACUAGUGGGUGGGAAACGAUUAGAGAGUUUAAUGUAUUAUGUCUAUUUGUAAAUGUAAAGGAAUUUGUAAAUCAAAUAUAUGAAUUUUUGUGAUCCAUUUCUGGUUUAUGCCUGCUUUAUCACGCCUUGCGUGACUAUAGGCCUCUGGUCUAUAGGCGCGCGGAGGCUGUCUCUCCUAGGCCUAGUCUCGGGGCGUGACAGUACCCUCUACUUGAACAUGGUGCUUUAUGCUUCCUAUUAUUUUCCGAUGAUGUGUUGCCAUCCUAUGAUGCCUGAGUAGAUUUUCGUUGUCCUAUCGGUGAUCGAUGAAUUGCUAUAAUUGCUUUGAAUCACUCAUGUCUUAAUAUUCAUGCCAUGAUUAGAUCACAUGAUCAAGAUUAUGCUAGGUAGCAUUCCACAUCAAAAAUUAUCUUUUUAUCAUUUGCCGACUCGAGGACGAGCAACAAUUAAGCUUGGGGAUGCUGAUACAUCUCCGUUGUAUCUAUAAUUUUUUACUGUUCCAUGUCAAUAUUCUACAACUUUUACAUACUUUUGGCAACUUUUUAUACUAUUUUUGGGACUAACAUAUUGAUUCAGUGCCCUGUGCUAGUUCCUGUUUGUUGCAUGUUUUUUGUUUCGCAGAAAAUCCAUAUCAAACAGAGUCCAAAUGGGAUAAAAAGUGAUGGAGAUUUUUUUGGAAUAUGUGUGAAUUUUGGGAAGUGGAAUCAACGCGAGACAUUGCUCGAGGGGCCCACGAGGGUGAGGGGCGCGCCCCAGGGGGUCAGACGCGCCCUGGGCCCUCGUGGCCACUCCGUAAGGCGGUUGGUGCCCUUCUUUCGCUGCAAGAAAUCCAAUAUCCAGAUAAAAAUCGUGUCCAAAUUCCAGCCCAAUAGGAGUUACGGAUCCCCGAGAAUUCAAAAAACGGUGAAAGGGCAGAAUCAGGGAGCGCAAAAACAGAGAGAGACAGAGAGACUGAUCCAAUCUCAGAGGGGCUCUCUCCCCUCCGCCACCAUGGAAGCUAUGGACCAGAGGGGAAACCCUUCUCCCAUCUAGGGGGAAGGUCAAGGAAUUAGAAGAAGAAGGGGGGCUCUCUUCCCCUCUCUCCCGGUGGCGUCGGAACGCCGUCGGGGCCAUCAUUGCGACAACGAUCUACACCAACACCUCCGUUAUCUUCACCAACAUCUUCAUCACUUUCCUCCAUCUAUCUAAAGCGGUCCACUCUCUCGCAACCUGUUGUACCCUCUACUUGAACAUGGUGCUUUAUGCUUCAUAUUAUUAUCCAAUGAUGUGUUGCCAUCCCAUGAUGUCUGAGUAGAUUUUCCUUGUCCUAUCGGUAAUUGGUGAGUUGCUAUGAUUGGUUUAAUUUGCUUGUGGUUAUGUUGCUGUCCUUUGGUGCCCAUCAUAUGAGCGCGUGCGUGGAUCACACCAUAGGGUUAGUUGUAUGUUGAUAGGACUAUGUAUUGGAGGGCAAGAGUGAUAGAAGCUUCAACCUAGCAUAGAAAUUGAUGCAUACAGGAUUGAAGGGGGACCAAUAUAUCUUAAUGCUAUGAUUGGGUUUUACCUUAAUGAACAUUAGUAGUUGAGG